This 467-nucleotide ribosomal RNA is filed under the name uncultured bacterium. RNAcentral describes it as "bacterial SSU rRNA". It matches the Rfam family "Bacterial small subunit ribosomal RNA", at positions 355 to 825 of the family's 1533-position model. The record is from RNAcentral.
UAGGGAAUAUUGGACAAUGGGUGAGAGCCUGAUCCAGCCAUGCCGCGUGCAGGAAGAAGGCGUUAUGCGUUGUAAACUGCUUUUUGCCAGGGGAUAAAAAGACCGUGCGCGGUUAAUUGAAGGUACCUGGUGAAUAAGCCACGGCUAACUACGUGCCAGCAGCCGCGGUAAUACGUAGGUGGCAAGCGUUGUCCGGAUUUAUUGGGUUUAAAGGGUGCGUAGGUGGCCCUGUAAGUCAGUGGUGAAAUAUCUCAGCUUAACUGAGAGGGUGCCAUUGAUACUGCAGGGCUUGAGUACAGAUGAGGUAGGCGGAAUUGACGGUGUAGCGGUGAAAUGCUUAGAUAUCGUCAAGAACACCGAUAGCGAAGGCAGCUUACUAGACUGUAACUGACGCUGAGGCACGAAAGUGUGGGGAUCAAACAGGAUUAGAUACCCUAGUAGUCCCUGAGCGGGCUGGCAAGGCGCAU